AUGCAGUCGAGCGGAACGAGUUAUCUGAACCUUCGGGGAACGAUAACGGCGUCGAGCGGCGGACGGGUGAGUAAUGCCUAGGAAAUUGCCCUGAUGUGGGGGAUAACCAUUGGAAACGAUGGCUAAUACCGCAUGAUGCCUACGGGCCAAAGAGGGGGACCUUCGGGCCUCUCGCGUCAGGAUAUGCCUAGGUGGGAUUAGCUAGUUGGUGAGGUAAGGGCUCACCAAGGCGACGAUCCCUAGCUGGUCUGAGAGGAUGAUCAGCCACACUGGAACUGAGACACGGUCCAGACUCCUACGGGAGGCAGCAGUGGGGAAUAUUGCACAAUGGGCGCAAGCCUGAUGCAGCCAUGCCGCGUGUGUGAAGAAGGCCUUCGGGUUGUAAAGCACUUUCAGUCGUGAGGAAGGUGGUGUAGUUAAUAGCUGCAUUAUUUGACGUUAGCGACAGAAGAAGCACCGGCUAA
This 464-nucleotide ribosomal RNA is filed under the name Vibrio alginolyticus. Its description in RNAcentral is "bacterial SSU rRNA". It matches the Rfam family "Bacterial small subunit ribosomal RNA", at positions 55 to 500 of the family's 1533-position model. The record is from RNAcentral. Lineage: Bacteria; Pseudomonadati; Pseudomonadota; Gammaproteobacteria; Vibrionales; Vibrionaceae.